RNAcentral lists this transfer RNA (76 nucleotides) under Luteimonas deserti. RNAcentral describes it as "tRNA-Thr". It matches the Rfam family "tRNA". Rfam says of the family: Transfer RNA (tRNA) molecules are approximately 80 nucleotides in length. Their secondary structure includes four short double-helical elements and three loops (D, anti-codon, and T loops). Lineage: Bacteria; Pseudomonadati; Pseudomonadota; Gammaproteobacteria; Lysobacterales; Lysobacteraceae. The record is from RNAcentral.
GCCGGUAUAGCUCAGUUGGUAGAGCAACCGCCUUGUAAGCGGUAGGUCCCCAGUUCGAAUCCGGGUGCCGGCACCA